This 253-nucleotide ribosomal RNA is filed under the name uncultured bacterium. Its description in RNAcentral is "partial 16S ribosomal RNA". It matches the Rfam family "Bacterial small subunit ribosomal RNA", at positions 524 to 776 of the family's 1533-position model. The record is from RNAcentral.
UACGUAGGGGGCAAGCGUUAUCCGGAUUUACUGGGUGUAAAGGGAGCGUAGACGGCGAUGCAAGCCAGGUGUGAAAGCCCGGGGCUCAACCCCGGGACUGCAUUUGGAACUGUAUAGCUAGAGUGUCGGAGAGGCAGGCGGAAUUCCUAGUGUAGCGGUGAAAUGCGUAGAUAUUAGGAGGAACACCAGUGGCGAAGGCGGCCUGCUGGACGAUGACUGACGUUGAGGCUCGAAAGCGUGGGGAGCAAACAGG